Chrysemys picta bellii (western painted turtle) is the source of this 317-nucleotide long non-coding RNA. NCBI's taxonomy places the organism in Eukaryota, Metazoa, Chordata, Testudines, Emydidae. The record is from Ensembl.
AUCUCUUCAUCAUUAGCAAACAAUUUAAACACAUGAACAAAUCUGACAUUGGCUUUUCUCUUGUAGACCGGUGAGAGCUGGGAAUGACACAGGGGUAGAUGCCGUCUGCACCUACAGGCGCGACUCCACUGCUCCCCCGUUUGACAGAGUGGGUGUUUACCAUGAAAUCCGCAACAAGACAAAUGGCAUCACCAAGCUCGGCCCCUACACCCUGGACAAGGACAGCCUCUACGUCAAUGGUUAUAACGAAGCACCAGCUCUGCCAACUGUUUUGCCAAUCUCAACCCCCGCUCCAGCAAUUGAACAUUUCACUGUGA